GGAAAAACCCCCUCCCUCCUCGGCUCCUUAGCUGAGAACUCCUUUUCCCUGGUCCCAACGGGACGACAGCUUUUACUCCUCUCAGCUUGUGCAAAAUACCUGAAGGAUAAGAACUACUUUCUGAUAAUCUGCUCACAAAAUGGUUGAGAAAGCUGCAUUUUUUUUUUGUACUCUACUUGUGAAAAUGAUUGUCUAGUGCAGGCUUCCUUGAGGAAUACAUAACCCCCUCUAACCCGACCAUAAUUGGACAAAUAGGAGCUCAGGAGUGAGAAGGAGAAGAUCCCAAGUGUUCUUCUGACUCGAUCAGAUUGAUUCUGUUUAGAGUGGCCUAGGGUAAAGAAUUCAUGUGUCCUUCCCAACCAUCUGUUCUUUAGCCUAGGUGAACUGUCCAAGGAGAACCGUGACAGUGCUGUCCUGGGCAGAUAGCAAGAGUGGAUGGUGCGUGAUCACUGGUGGGAAAUUGCUUUGCAUGUGCUUUAUCUCUUACUUCCCUUGUUUCUCACUCCAUUCUGGAAGUUGCUUUGGAGGAUGGGAUGGCAUUAAGGUGAAGAGUGAAAUUAUUUUGGUCUUGGUAAGGGAGUCUGUGUUCUUUGAAUUGUAUCAGAGUCUAAUGGAGGGGAAAAUAUCCAAUUCAUUCCAGGAGUUAGAAUGUCCCCUGAACUAUUUUGUUUCUAAGAGCUGCAUGUAAACUGGUUAAAAAGUAUGAACUCCAGAUCCAUACUGCCGGGAAUUCAAUCAAGACUCAAUUUUUAGAGGUGUGACCUUGGACAAGUCACUUAACCUCUUUGUGC
RNAcentral lists this long non-coding RNA (791 nucleotides) under Marmota monax (woodchuck). The record is from RNAcentral. Lineage: Eukaryota; Metazoa; Chordata; Mammalia; Rodentia; Sciuridae.